GGAUCAGGUACGAACGCUUGGCGCGUGCUUAACACAUGCAGUCGAACGGUGGAAGGGUGGGAGCUUGCUCCUGCUGGAUCAGUGGCGAACGGGUGAGUUAACACGUGAGUAACCUUGCCCUUGACUCUGGGAUAAGCGUUGGAAACGACGUCUAAUACCGGAUACGAGCUUCAGCCGCAUGGCUAGGGAGUUUGGAAAGAAUUUCGGUCAAGGAUGGACUCGCGGCCUAUCAGCUUAGUUGGUGAGGUAAUGGCUCACCAAGGCGAACGACGGGUAGCCGGCCUGAAGAGGGUGACCGGCCACACUGGGACUGAGACACGGCCCAGACUCCUACGGGAGGCAGCAGUGGGGAAUAUUGCACAAUGGGCGCAAGCCUGAUGCAGCAACGCCGCGUGAGGGAUGACGGCCUUCGGGUUGUAAACCUCUUUUAGUAGGGAAGAAGCGCAAGUGACGGUACCUGCAGAAAAAGCACCGGCUAACUACGUGCCAGCAGCCGCGGUAAUACGUAGGGUGCAAGCGUUGUCCGGAAUUAUUGGGCGUAAAGAGCUCGUAGGCGGCUUGUCGCGUCUGCUGUGAAAACCCGAGGCUCAACCUCGGGCUUGCAGUGGGUACGGGCAGGCUAGAGUGCGGUAGGGGAGAUUGGAAUUCCUGGUGUAGCGGUGGAAUGCGCAGAUAUCAGGAGGAACACCAAUGGCGAAGGCAGAACUCUGGGCCGUAACUUGACGCUGAGGAGCGAAAGCAUGGCGGAGCGAAACAGGGAUUAGAUACCCCUGGUAGUCCAUGCCGUAAACGUUGGGAACUAGAUGUAAGGGCCUGUUCCACGGGUUUCUGUGUCGUAGCUAACGCAUUAAGUAUCCCCGCCUGGGGAGUACGGCCGCAAGACUAAAACUCAAAUGAAUUGAG
This 903-nucleotide ribosomal RNA is filed under the name uncultured bacterium. Its description in RNAcentral is "bacterial SSU rRNA". It matches the Rfam family "Bacterial small subunit ribosomal RNA", at positions 21 to 914 of the family's 1533-position model. The record is from RNAcentral.